CAGUGUCCCUUUUUGGUGUUUUGUUUCGGCGUGCGUUAGCCGAGCUACAAGUGCUCUGAUUCUCCUCUGGAUAGAGAAGAUACGUAGGCAUAGGACGCGAUGUCCUAGCGAGCAUGUCUCCCUUCCCGGAACUACGUUGACUCUGAUGUUUGUUUCCGACAAACUACGUAGGCCCAGGAUGCAAUAUCCUGCCGAGUCCACUUCCUCCAUCUUCUUUUUUUUUCUUUCACCUGUUUUAUUAUUCCAGUUUGUGCAAUUUCUUUGAGC
Molecule: long non-coding RNA, 267 nt
Filed under: Lathyrus oleraceus (garden pea)
Lineage: Eukaryota; Viridiplantae; Streptophyta; Magnoliopsida; Fabales; Fabaceae
Description: Pisum sativum (pea) long non-coding RNA (PSAT_LNC019194)
Source: RNAcentral